AUUGAACGCUGGCGGCAUGCCUUACACAUGCAAGUCGAGCGGCUGCACGGGGCUUUCCCCCUGAUGGCGCGUCGCAAGGGUGUGAAUAGUCCAUCAGAAUACGUGCUAGUGGGGGAUAUAGUCCGGCGAAAGCCGCUAAAACACCACACGCCCUCUGCGGAUGAGUGCGGGGGACCCGCACCCCUCGCUCUCUGGUGAGCCGAGGUCGGGUUAGCUAGUUGGUGGGGUAAAGGCCUACCAAGGCGACGAUCCGUAUCUGGUCUGAGAGGAUGAUCAGUCACACUGGGACUGAGACACGGUCCAGACUCCUACGGGAGGCAGCAGUGGGGAAUUUUGGACAAUGGGCGAAAGCCUGAUCCAGCAAUGCCGCGUGUGUGAAGAAGGUCUUCGGGUUGUAAAGCACUUUUAGUUGGGAAGAAGGGCAUUGAGUUAAUACCGUGCGGGUUUGACGGUACCGGCAGAAUAAGCACCGGCUAACUUCGUG
RNAcentral lists this ribosomal RNA (484 nucleotides) under uncultured bacterium. RNAcentral describes it as "partial 16S ribosomal RNA". It matches the Rfam family "Bacterial small subunit ribosomal RNA", at positions 30 to 507 of the family's 1533-position model. The record is from RNAcentral.